AUUGAACGCUGGCGGCAGGCCUAACACAUGCAAGUCGAGCGGAUGAAGGGAGCUUGCUCCUGGAUUCAGCGGCGGACGGGUGAGUAAUGCCUAGGAAUCUGCCUGGUAGUGGGGGAUAACGUCCGGAAACGGGCGCUAAUACCGCAUACGUCCUGAGGGAGAAAGUGGGGGAUCUUCGGACCUCACGCUAUCAGAUGAGCCUAGGUCGGAUUAGCUAGUUGGUGGGGUAAAGGCCUACCAAGGCGACGAUCCGUAACUGGUCUGAGAGGAUGAUCAGUCACACUGGAACUGAGACACGGUCCAGACUCCUACGGGAGGCAGCAGUGGGGAAUAUUGGACAAUGGGCGAAAGCCUGAUCCAGCCAUGCCGCGUGUGUGAAUAAGGUCUUCGGAUUGUAAAGCACUUUAAGUUGGGAGGAAGGGCAGUAAGUUAAUACCUUGCUGUUUUGACGUUACCAACAGAAUAAGCACCGGCUAACUUCGUG
RNAcentral lists this ribosomal RNA (484 nucleotides) under uncultured bacterium. RNAcentral's name for it is "partial 16S ribosomal RNA". It matches the Rfam family "Bacterial small subunit ribosomal RNA", at positions 30 to 507 of the family's 1533-position model. The record is from RNAcentral.